RNAcentral lists this ribosomal RNA (1789 nucleotides) under Chroococcus sp. CHAB TP201720.1. RNAcentral describes it as "bacterial SSU rRNA". The stretch from base 1 to 1483 matches the Rfam family "Bacterial small subunit ribosomal RNA". The record is from RNAcentral. Lineage: Bacteria; Bacillati; Cyanobacteriota; Cyanophyceae; Chroococcales; Chroococcaceae.
UAGAGUUUGAUCCUGGCUCAGGAUGAACGCUGGCGGUAUGCCUAACACAUGCAAGUCGAACGGUCCUUCGGGACAGUGGCGGACGGGUGAGUAACGCGUGAGAACCUGCCUUCAGGAUGGGGACAACAGCCGGAAACAGCUGCUAACACCCAAUGUGCCGCAAGGUGAAAAAUUUAUUGCCUGAAGAGGGGCUCGCGUCUGAUUAGCUAGUUGGAGAGAUAAAAGCUCACCAAGGCGACGAUCAGUAGCUGGUCUGAGAGGAUGAGCAGCCACACUGGGACUGAGACACGGCCCAGACUCCUACGGGAGGCAGCAGUGGGGAAUCUUCCGCAAUGGGCGAAAGCCUGACGGAGCAAUACCGCGUGAGGGAAGAAGGUCUAAUAGAUUGUCAACCUCUUUUCUCAGGGAAGAAAAAAAUGACGGUACCUGAGGAAUAAGCAUCGGCUAACUCCGUGCCAGCAGCCGCGGUAAUACGGAGGAUGCAAGCGUUAUCCGGAAUUAUUGGGCGUAAAGCGUCCGCAGGUGGUCAAACAAGUCUGCCGUCAAAAACUAGAGCUUAACUCUGGAGAGGCGGUGGAAACUGUAAGACUAGAGACCGGUAGGGGUAGAGGGAAUUCCCAGUGUAGCGGUGAAAUGCGUAGAGAUUGGGAAGAACACCAGUGGCGAAGGCGCUCUACUGGGCCGGAACUGACACUCAGGGACGAAAGCUAGGGGAGCAAAAGGGAUUAGAUACCCCUGUAGUCCUAGCCGUAAACGAUGGAUACUAGGCGUAGCUUGUAUCGACCCAAGCUGUGCCGUAGCUAACGCGUUAAGUAUCCCGCCUGGGGAGUACGCACGCAAGUGUGAAACUCAAAGGAAUUGACGGGGGCCCGCACAAGCGGUGGAGUAUGUGGUUUAAUUCGAUGCAACGCGAAGAACCUUACCAGGACUUGACAUGGCGCGAAGCCUUCUGAAAGGAAGGUGUGCCUUAGGGAACGCGCACACAGGUGGUGCAUGGCUGUCGUCAGCUCGUGUCGUGAGAUGUUGGGUUAAGUCCCGCAACGAGCGCAACCCUCGUCCUUAGUUGCCAGCAGUAAGAUGGGCACUCUAGGGAGACUGCCGAUGAUAAGUCGGAGGAAGGUGGGGAUGACGUCAAGUCAUCAUGCCCCUUACGUUCUGGGCUACACACGUACUACAAUGGUCGGGACAAAGGGCAGCGAGACCGCAAGGUGGAGCGAAUCCCAGCAAACCCGGCCUCAGUUCAGAUUGCAGGCUGCAACUCGCCUGCAUGAAGGAGGAAUCGCUAGUAAUCGCAGGUCAGCAUACUGCGGUGAAUCCGUUCCCGGGCCUUGUACACACCGCCCGUCACACCAUGGGAGCUGGCCACGCCCGAAGUCGUUACCCUAACCAUUCGUGGAGGGGGACGCCGAAGGCAGGGCUAGUGACUGGGGUGAAGUCGUAACAAGGUAGCCGUACCGGAAGGUGUGGCUGGAUCACCUCCUUUAAUAGGGAGACCCAAUUUGGGUCAGAUGGGGGCAGAGAAAACUUUCAAACGGACCAGUUUAGGGACAAGGGCUAUUAGCUCAGGUGGUUAGAGCGCACCCCUGAUAAGGGUGAGGUCCCUGGUUCAAGUCCAGGAUGGCCCAGGCAAAAUAAAACAGCAAAGUACAGCACCUCUGAACCCCAGAGUCUGCUGGACUAGUUUGUCCAGUACAGAACCUUGAAAACUGCAUCAGACAGAAGAGAAAAAGUAAUAAAAGUCAAGCUACAAAGGGCUAACGGUGGAUACCUAGGCACACAGAGGCGAAGA